GCCAUGAUAUACCCAUUAACUUGAUUCGCUAAAACGAUUAUACAAACACUGUUAUAAGUAGCAUUCAAUUCGUGUAUCUUAAGUUAGUGUUUUCUGUGUCAUAAAUCCAGGAUUGUAAUCCCAAUGUCUAUGCUGAACGCCACCAAGAUCAGACGACUGUACGCAAUAGUGUUAGCUUGAUUCUUCACGUGAUUAUACUGUUUAAAGACUGUGGCAUAAUUAGAUAUCACUGCCGAGUAUUACUGAAGUCAAAUGUGUGUAUUGUUUGCCUAACUGAUGCCAAACUACCGAUUGUCCACGACACUAUCUACGAACAUUGAACCAUUCAAUAGGGCCUACACCGGCUGUGUAGCGCACUAUAAUAACAAGACGGGGCUCUCCGCUGGCUAAUGCAAUUCAUCCCAUCGAAAAGAAUAUAAAUUUUUGAUUGCGUUGUGAAAAUAGAAAAUACUUUUAUUGAACAGCAGAGCGUCGUACUACAGCGAAAGGAGUAUAUAUUGAUGAUAGAGGCGAGUUUACAACUGUCAAGAGACGAAUUCUUGAGCCAGGGAAACGUAUUCCAUGACUUCAGCUUAACGGCGGUAUCAGACUCGAUGGAGAACAACAUACACAGAUACGAUUAUGUGAAUUGACGUGGAGCAAUAUAACAAAGAACAAGUAUGCCGAGGGGUCGCGAGCGGCCAUUGUACGUUUGGAUUGUGGGAUUCUCCAUUUCCGGCGUGAUCGCGGUGGUCGGAGUGAUUGUGUUUCUGGUCUAUGGAUGUAAAAGAUGGAGAGAAAACAAAAGAAUAAAACUGCACAGAAUGGAACUAGAACGUGAAAUGGCAAGACAAAUAGACAAACCAAAGGAAGUGAAAGCUAGUACUUCCGGUUACUCACAUCGAUGCAGCUCACGUGUUGGUGUUUAUGAUGGUAAGGAAGAUCCAGCUGUGACUAAGUCGGACGCUGCAACAGAACAAGAAACAGUUAUAUUGUCCGAAACAAAACGGACAGUGACUUUUCAGGUACCAAAAUCAUAAUCACAACACUUUUCAUGUUCCAUUUGUGUCGGACGUACUUCCGGUUUACACCGUAUCCCUAGGGUACUGGUCACACUUCCGGUGUGAAUCAUAUCAAAGAGGUAUUGGACUCACAUCUGGGGUACGGCAUACCCCUAGGAUAAUGGACACUCUUACGGUGUACAACACAUCCCUAGGGCACUGCAUACACGCCCGGUGUACAUCCCUAAGGUACUGGACUCACUUUCGACAUAAACCAUAUUCUGAAACAUAGCAGAUAUUCCGAAAUAAGACAAGUGUAGUUUAUGAAAAUCAUUGUCGGAAUGCAUCGUGCUCAUUACUACAGUGUCUUUCAACCGUACCGAUCAGGAUUGGAUAAGGAAAGAAAGAAUUUUCGUAAAUUACAUUCUUAUGUUUGGUUGCCGACAUCCCACAUUUAUCUAUAUUCACUUACAUAAAUGUAUCAAUUACUAUUUUCAUAUAUAUUAAAAUUAAACUAAAC
Pecten maximus is the source of this 1500-nucleotide long non-coding RNA. RefSeq lists it as uncharacterized. The record is from RefSeq and is a predicted model, not a curated record. The transcript has 3 exons. Lineage: Eukaryota; Metazoa; Mollusca; Bivalvia; Pectinida; Pectinidae.